Molecule: ribosomal RNA, 492 nt
Filed under: uncultured bacterium
Lineage: Bacteria
Description: partial 16S ribosomal RNA
Rfam family: Bacterial small subunit ribosomal RNA
Source: RNAcentral
AGUGAACGCUGGCGGUAGGCCUAACACAUGCAAGUCGAACGGCAGCACAGUAAGAGCUUGCUCUUACGGGUGGCGAGUGGCGGACGGGUGAGGAAUACAUCGGAAUCUACUUUUUCGUGGGGGAUAACGUAGGGAAACUUACGCUAAUACCGCAUACGACCUACGGGUGAAAGCAGGGGAUCCUCGGACCUUGCGCGAUUGAAUGAGCCGAUGUCGGAUUAGCUAGUUGGCGGGGUAAAGGCCCACCAAGGCGACGAUCCGUAGCUGGUCCGAGAGGAUGAUCAGCCACACUGGAACUGAGACACGGUCCAGACUCCUACGGGAGGCAGCAGUGGGGAAUAUUGGACAAUGGGCGCAAGCCUGAUCCAGCCAUACCGCGUGGGUGAAGAAGGCCUUCGGGUUGUAAAGCCCUUUUGUUGGGAAAGAAAAGCAGCAGGUUAAUACCCCGCUGUUCUGACGGUACCCAAAGAAUAAGCACCGGCUAACUUCGUG